GAGUCAUUGGGACUCUGAUAAACCUAAAGGCGCAAUGAAAGUGAAGGUCCGCCUCGCGCGGACCGAGGGAGGAUGGGUUCGUUUACGAACGAGCCCCGCACUCCCGGGGCGUCUCGUACUCAUCGCGAGUUGAGGCGCACCCAGAGCGUACACGCUGGGACCCGAAAGAUGGUGAACUAUGCCUGGUCAGGACGAAGUCAGGGGAAACCCUGAUGGAGGUCCGUAGCGAUUCUGACGUGCAAAUCGAUCGUCGGAACUGGGUAUAGGGGCGAAAGACUAAUCGAACCUUCUAGUAGCUGGUUCCCUCCGAAGUUUCCCUCAGGAUAGCUGGCGCUCGCAUUGCGAGUCUCAUUCGGUAAAGCGAAUGAUUAGAGGCAUUGGGGUCGAAACGGCCUCAACCUAUUCUCAAACUUUAAAUGGGUGAGAUCUCCGGCUUGCUUAAAACUUGAAGCCGCGAGAUUAUCGGAUCAACGAGUGCCAAGUGGGCCACUUUUGGUAAGCAGAACUGGCGCUGUGGGAUGAACCAAACGCCGAGUUAAAGCGCCAAAAUCGACGCUUAUGGGAUACCAUGAAAGGCGUUGGUAACUUAAGACAGCAGGACGGUGG
This 606-nucleotide ribosomal RNA is filed under the name Onthophagus consentaneus. RNAcentral's name for it is "eukaryotic LSU rRNA". It matches the Rfam family "Eukaryotic large subunit ribosomal RNA", at positions 688 to 1251 of the family's 3401-position model. The record is from RNAcentral. Lineage: Eukaryota; Metazoa; Arthropoda; Insecta; Coleoptera; Scarabaeidae.